Molecule: unclassified non-coding RNA, 305 nt
Filed under: plant metagenome
Description: partial contains 5.8S ribosomal RNA, internal transcribed spacer 2, and large subunit ribosomal RNA
Rfam family: 5.8S ribosomal RNA (bases 1-105)
Source: RNAcentral
GAAAUGCGAUAAGUAAUGUGAAUUGCAGAAUUCAGUGAAUCAUCGAAUCUUUGAACGCACAUUGCGCCCGCCAGUAUUCUGGCGGGCAUGCCUGUUCGAGCGUCGUUUCAACCAUCAAGCCCCCGGCUUGUGUUGGGGACCUGCGGCUGCCCGCAGGCCCUGAAAAACAGUGGCGGGCUCGCUGUCACACCGAGCGUAGUAGCAUACAUUCUCGCUCAGGGCGUGCUGCGGGUUCCGGCCGUUAAACGACCUUCAUAACCCAAGGUUGACCUCGGAUCAGGUAGGAAGACCCGCUGAACUUAAGC